RNAcentral lists this ribosomal RNA (474 nucleotides) under uncultured bacterium. RNAcentral describes it as "bacterial SSU rRNA". It matches the Rfam family "Bacterial small subunit ribosomal RNA", at positions 335 to 802 of the family's 1533-position model. The record is from RNAcentral.
ACUCCUACGGGAGGCAGCAGUGGGGAAUAUUGCACAAUGGGGGAAACCCUGAUGCAGCCAUGCCGCGUGUGUGAAGAAGGCCUUCGGUUGUAAAGCACUUUCAGUAGGGAGGAAGGUAGUGUAGUUAACACCUGCAUUAUUUGACGUUACCUACAGAAGAAGCACCGGCUAACUCCGUGCCAGCAGCCGCGGUAAUACGGAGGGUGCGAGCGUUAAUCGGAAUUACUGGGCGUAAAGCGCAUGCAGGCGGCCUGUUAAGUCAGAUGUGAAAGCCCGGGGUCUUAACCUCGGAAUUGCAUUUGAAACUGGCAGGCUAGAGUCUUGUAGAGGGGUUAGAAUUUCAGGUGUAGCGGUGAAAUGCGUAGAGAUCUGAAGGAAUACCGAGUGGCGAACGGCGGCCCCUAGGACAAAGACUGACGCUCAGAUGCGAAAGCGUGGGAGCAAACAGGAUUAGAUACCCCUGGUAGACUGUCA